RNAcentral lists this unclassified non-coding RNA (331 nucleotides) under Hevea brasiliensis (rubber tree). Lineage: Eukaryota; Viridiplantae; Streptophyta; Magnoliopsida; Malpighiales; Euphorbiaceae. The record is from RNAcentral.
AGGUUCGGGAGGUUUGACAGGGAAAUUGACAUUGGAGUUCCGGACGAGAUUGGACGCCUCGAGGUCCUACGUAUCCACACAAGGAACAUGAAGCUAUCGGAAGAUGUUGAUAUGGAGAAAAUAUCCAAGAACACCCACGGCUAUGUUGGGGCCGAUCUGGCAGCCCUGUGCACUGAAGCUGCCCUUCAGUGCAUUAGGGAGAAAAUGGAUGUCAUCGAUCUAGAGGACGAGACUAUCGAUGCUGAAAUACUUAACUCAAUGGCUGUUAGCGAUGAACAUUUCAAAACUGCUCUUGGAACCAGCAAUCCUUCUGCGCUUCGCGAGACCGUUG